RNAcentral lists this unclassified non-coding RNA (321 nucleotides) under uncultured fungus. Its description in RNAcentral is "partial contains 5.8S rRNA and ITS2". The record is from RNAcentral. Lineage: Eukaryota; Fungi.
AACGCAUAUUGCGCCCGCGUCUUCGGACAAGGGCAUGUCUGCCUCAGCGUCGGGUUAAUACUCGCAAUUAAAACCCAUGUGGUUUUACUAUUGCGGACCUGGCCGUCCCGAUUGAUUUAGUUCGAUCGGGUCGGCUGAAGAAUAGAGGUUGACGCAUGGACCCGAUAUGGGCCUCAACUGGGUAGGCAAUUCGUUGCUGUAUGCUUUAGUUGAUGGCUUGUGGACUGUGCAAUGUCGGCCCUAACCAGGAACCAAGCCUUGUGCUUGGAACAAACCCAUUUUCUCGACCUGAGCUCAGGCAAGAACACCCGCUGAACUUAA